This 434-nucleotide ribosomal RNA is filed under the name uncultured Lachnospiraceae bacterium. RNAcentral's name for it is "partial 16S ribosomal RNA". It matches the Rfam family "Bacterial small subunit ribosomal RNA", at positions 341 to 792 of the family's 1533-position model. The record is from RNAcentral. Lineage: Bacteria; Bacillati; Bacillota; Clostridia; Lachnospirales; Lachnospiraceae.
ACGGGAGGCAGCAGUGGGGAAUAUUGGACAAUGGGGGAAACCCUGAUCCAGCGACGCCGCGUGAGUGAAGAAGUAUUUCGGUAUGUAAAGCUCUUUAAGCAGGGAAGAAAAUGACGGUACCUGCAGAAUAAGCCCCGGCUAACUACGUGCCAGCAGCCGCGGUAAUACGUAGGGGGCAAGCGUUAUCCGGAUUUACUGGGUGUAAAGGGAGCGUAGACGGCAAUGCAAGUCUGAAGUGAAAUCCCGUGGCUUAACUGCGGAAUUGCUUUGGAAACUGUAUAGCUAGAGUGUCGGAGAGGUGAGUGGAAUUCCCAGUGUAGCGGUGAAAUGCGUAGAUAUUAGGAGGAACAUCAGUGGCGAAGGCGGCUUACUGGGCUUUAACUGACGCUGAGGCUCGAAAGCGUGGGGAGCAAACAGGAUUAGAUACCCUGGUA